GUGGGGAAUAUUGGACAAUGGGCGAAAGCCUGAUCCAGCCAUGCCGCGUGUGUGAAGAAGGUCUUCGGAUUGUAAAGCACUUUAAGUUGGGAGGAAGGGCAGUAAGUUAAUACCUUGCUGUUUUGACGUUACCGACAGAAUAAGCACCGGCUAACUUCGUGCCAGCAGCCGCGGUAAUACGAAGGGUGCAAGCGUUAAUCGGAAUUACUGGGCGUAAAGUGCGCGUAGGUGGUUUUGUAAGUUGGAGGUGAAAUCCCCGGGCUCAACCUGGGAACUGCCUCCAAAACUGCAUGACUAGAGUACGGUAGAGGGUAGUGGAAUUUCCUGUGUAGCGGUGAAAUGCGUAGAUAUAGGAAGGAACACCAGUGGCGAAGGCGACUACCUGGACUGAUACUGACACUGAGGUGCGAAAGCGUGGGGAGCAAACAGGAUUAGAAACCCUUGUAGUCC
RNAcentral lists this ribosomal RNA (450 nucleotides) under uncultured bacterium. RNAcentral's name for it is "partial 16S ribosomal RNA". It matches the Rfam family "Bacterial small subunit ribosomal RNA", at positions 354 to 796 of the family's 1533-position model. The record is from RNAcentral.